CUAAACAUCAGUACCUCUUCGAGAGGUAUUGGUGCUGAAGGGAAGCCGAAGAGUGUGCUACCUGGGAAGUAUAGUCGCAAGGCCGAAACUUAAAGGAAUUGGCGGGGAGACACUACAACGGGUGACGCGUACGGUUCAAUUAGAUUACACACCGUGAACCUCACCAGGAGCGACAGCAGAAUGAAGGUCAGUCUGAAGGGCUUACCUGACACGCUGAGAGGAACUGCAUGGCCAACGUCAGCCUGUGUCGUGAGAUGACCUGUUAAAUCAGGUAACAGGCAAGACCCACACCUAUAUUUGCUACUUGCACCAUAUAGGGAUUGCCUUGGAAACAAGGAUGAAAGUGUGGGCUACGUUAGGUGAGUACAGUCCGAAUCCCCUGGGCUACACGUGCGCGUCAACGCUGAAUACAACGAGAUGCGAUGCCGAAAGGUAAAGCCAAUCUCUUAAAGUUCAGCUCAGUUUAGAUUGAGGUUUGCAACCCAGCCUCAUGACAAUGGAAUCCGUAGUAAUCGUUUGUUAGCAGCGAACGGUGAAUAUGUCACUGUCUCUUGCACACACUGCCCGUCAAACCAACCGAGUUAUGUUGGGAUGAAACUCAUUAGAGGAGAGCUCUGAUAUGACAAGGUAGGUUAAGUCGUAACAAGGUAGCC
RNAcentral lists this ribosomal RNA (653 nucleotides) under uncultured archaeon. RNAcentral describes it as "bacterial SSU rRNA". It matches the Rfam family "Archaeal small subunit ribosomal RNA", at positions 767 to 1448 of the family's 1478-position model. The record is from RNAcentral.